Molecule: long non-coding RNA, 446 nt
Filed under: Setaria viridis
Lineage: Eukaryota; Viridiplantae; Streptophyta; Magnoliopsida; Poales; Poaceae
Description: long non-coding RNA (SVIR_LNC001752)
Source: RNAcentral
UUGAAGAAGGGGUCAAGGACCCGAUUGCAAAGGGGAAAAGAAGUGUAGGGGGUCCUGCAUAAAGUUUCGGAGUUAAGUGUGAGGUGGGUUUUGUUCUAGGGGCUUGAGUGUUUUAGAUGUAGGGGGUUAGAUGAGAAACGAAGGGCAGAUCUGUGAACAAAUUUUUUUUCCCAGGAGCCUAAAUGUGAAGUUGGUUUCGGUUUUAAUUAAAUUGCUAGAUUUAAAUUGUUGCAAACUUGGAAAAUGCAUAUAAAAGUGUAGAAAAAUGCUUAAAAUGUGAAUCUUGUUUUGUUAGGUUCCUAAUGAUGUCUAGUUUAUUCAAAAAAUAUUGUUGUGCAUGUUACUAUUCUGUAUUUCGUGCUAUGAUUUAAUUGGUCUAAAGUUCAUUAAAUGCUUUAUAAAUCAUGUUGUCCUCUAAAAAUUGUGAAACCACUUUUGUUAGCUUU